GUGUUGUAUGAAAGGAAAGAAGGUUAGCACUCCCCUUGACAAGGAUGGACGAGGCCCUCGGGCCUGAAAAAAAGAAGAUUUCUUAACUGAGGAACAAAUUGACAUUUAUUU
Molecule: small nuclear RNA, 111 nt
Organism: Otolemur garnettii (small-eared galago)
Lineage: Eukaryota; Metazoa; Chordata; Mammalia; Primates; Galagidae
Source: Ensembl